Molecule: ribosomal RNA, 482 nt
Filed under: uncultured bacterium
Lineage: Bacteria
Description: partial 16S ribosomal RNA
Rfam family: Bacterial small subunit ribosomal RNA
Source: RNAcentral
AUUGAACGCUGGCGGCAUGCCUUACACAUGCAAGUCGAACGGUAACGGGCCUUCGGGUGCCGACGAGUGGCGAACGGGUGAGUAAUACAUCGGAACGUGCCCGAUCGUGGGGGAUAACGAGGCGAAAGCUUUGCUAAUACCGCAAACGAUCUACGGAUGAAAGAGGGGGACCGCAAGGCCUUGCGCGGACGGAGCGGCCGAUGGCAGAUUGGGUAGUUGGUGGGAUAAAAGCUUACCAAGCCGACGAUCUGUAGCUGGUCUGAGAGGAUGAUCAGCCACACUGGGACUGAGACACGGCCCAGACUCCUACGGGAGGCAGCAGUGGGGAAUUUUGGACAAUGGGCGCAAGCCUGAUCCAGCCAUGCCGCGUGCAGGAUGAAGGCCUUCGGGUUGUAAACUGCUUUUGUACGGAACGAAAAGCCUUCUUUUAAUACAGGAGGGUCAUGACGGUACCGUAAGAAUAAGCACCGGCUAACUACGUG